RNAcentral lists this transfer RNA (77 nucleotides) under Kordiimonas gwangyangensis. It matches the Rfam family "tRNA". From Rfam's summary of the family: Transfer RNA (tRNA) molecules are approximately 80 nucleotides in length. Their secondary structure includes four short double-helical elements and three loops (D, anti-codon, and T loops). The record is from RNAcentral. Lineage: Bacteria; Pseudomonadati; Pseudomonadota; Alphaproteobacteria; Kordiimonadales; Kordiimonadaceae. RNAcentral also lists the same sequence under 3 other names.
GGGCCUGUAGCUCAGUUGGUUAGAGCCGGCCGCUCAUAACGGCUUGGUCGGGGGUUCGAGUCCCUCCGGGCCCACCA